UGGGGAAUAUUGCACAAUGGGCGCAAGCCUGAUGCAGCGACGCCGCGUGAGCGAAGAAGGUUUUCGGAUCGUAAAGCUCUGUCCUCUGGGAAGAAAAAAAUGACGGUACCAGAGGAGGAAGCCCCGGCUAACUACGUGCCAGCAGCCGCGGUAAUACGUAGGGGGCUAGCGUUGUCCGGAUUUACUGGGCGUAAAGGGUGAGUAGGCGGUAACGUGUGUCAGAUGUUUAAUCUAUGGGCUCAACCCAUAUCAGCAUUUGAAACUACGUAACUUGAGUGCAGGAGAGGUAAGUGGAAUUCCUAGUGUAGCGGUGGAAUGCGUAGAUAUUAGGAGGAACACCAGUGGCGAAGGCGACUUACUGGACUGCAACUGACGCUGAGUCACGAAAGCGUGGGGAGCAAACAGG
Molecule: ribosomal RNA, 406 nt
Filed under: uncultured bacterium
Lineage: Bacteria
Description: bacterial SSU rRNA
Rfam family: Bacterial small subunit ribosomal RNA
Source: RNAcentral